RNAcentral lists this ribosomal RNA (497 nucleotides) under uncultured bacterium. Its description in RNAcentral is "partial 16S ribosomal RNA". It matches the Rfam family "Bacterial small subunit ribosomal RNA", at positions 28 to 507 of the family's 1533-position model. The record is from RNAcentral.
GAUGAACGCUGGCGGCGUGCCUAAUACAUGCAAGUCGAGCGAACAGACGAGGAGCUUGCUCCUCUGACGUUAGCGGCGGACGGGUGAGUAACACGUGGAGAACCUACCUAUAAGACUGGGAUAACUUCGGGAAACCGGAGCUAAUACCGGAUAAUAUAUUGAACCGCAUGGUUCAAUAGUGAAAGACGGUUUUGCUGUCACUUAUAGAUGGAUCCGCGCCGCAUUAGCUAGUUGGUAAGGUAACGGCUUACCAAGGCAACGAUGCGUAGCCGACCUGAGAGGGUGAUCGGCCACACUGGAACUGAGACACGGCCCAGACUCCUACGGGAGGCAGCAGUGGGGAAUCUUCCGCAAUGGGCGAAAGCUUGACGGAGCCACGCCGCGUGAGUGAUGAAGGUCUUCGGAUCGUAAAGCUCUGUUAUUAGGGAAGAACAAAUGUGUAAGUAACUAUGCGCGUCUUGACGGUACCUAAUCAGAAAGCCCCGGCUAACUACGUG